RNAcentral lists this ribosomal RNA (165 nucleotides) under uncultured bacterium. Its description in RNAcentral is "partial 16S rRNA". It matches the Rfam family "Bacterial small subunit ribosomal RNA", at positions 355 to 511 of the family's 1533-position model. The record is from RNAcentral.
UAGGGAAUCUUCCACAAUGGGCGAAAGCCUGAUGGAGCAACGCCGCGUGUGUGAUGAAGGGUUUCGGCUACGUAAAACACUGUUGUAAGAGAAGAAUGACAUUGAGAGUAACUGUUCAAUGUGUGACGGUAUCUUACCAGAAAGGAACGGCUAAAUACGUGCCUG